GCCUCGGUUCCUACAAACGACCCCUGACCCCUUAUAUCAAAAUAACCACUUUUACAGAUAUAGCCUAUUUACAUGACUGGCCUAAUUGCAAGCAUAGCCUAUUUACACAACUAGUCUAAUUACAGACAUAGACAAACAAAUUACAAAAAUAGCCUAAUUGUAGAAGUAGCCUAUUUAGCUCAGAUAUGACUCUUUCCUUCAAUGACCAAAAUGGUCUACAUGUGAGUAGUAUCAUCAUUGCCUAUUUACAUAUCUCAACA
This 260-nucleotide long non-coding RNA is filed under the name Nicotiana benthamiana. RNAcentral describes it as "long non-coding RNA (NBEN_LNC025877)". Lineage: Eukaryota; Viridiplantae; Streptophyta; Magnoliopsida; Solanales; Solanaceae. The record is from RNAcentral.